Molecule: ribosomal RNA, 1492 nt
Filed under: uncultured bacterium
Lineage: Bacteria
Description: bacterial SSU rRNA
Rfam family: Bacterial small subunit ribosomal RNA
Source: RNAcentral
AGGAAAGGUCGCUGAAUUGUAGCUCGACUCACUAGAGGAGCUACUUGAGUCGACAUGUCGGCAGGUCCCCGUGGCCUAGUCGUGGGCAUGACUGUUACCUGAAGUUUGAUCCUGGCUCAGGACGAACGCUGGCGGCGUGCUUAACACAUGCAAGUCGAGGGGGGGUAGCAAUACUCCACCGGCGAACGGGUGCGUAACACGUGAGCAACCUACCUCGAUGCGGGGGAUAGCCGGCCCAACGGCCGGGUAAUACCGCAUACGCUUCUCGAGAGGAGUCUCUUGGGAAGGAAACCCUUCGGGGGCAUUGAGCGGGGCUCGCGGCCUAUCAGCUAGUUGGUGCGGUAACGGCGCACCAAGGCGAUGACGGGUAGCUGGUCUGAGAGGAUGGCCAGUCACACCGGGACUGAGACACGGCCCGGACUCCUACGGGAGGCAGCAGUGGGGAAUCUUGGACAAUGGGCGCAAGCCUGAUCCAGCCAUGCCGCGUGUGUGAAGAAGGCCUUCGGGUUGUAAAGCACUUUCAGUAGGGAGGAAGGCUUUGGGCUAAUACCCUGGAGUACUUGACGUUACCUACAGAAGAAGCACCGGCUAAUUUCGUGCCAGCAGCCGCGGUAAUACGAAAGGUGCGAGCGUUAAUCGGAAUUACUGGGCGUAAAGCGCGCGUAGGCGGAUUGGAAAGUUGGGGGUGAAAUCCCGGGGCUCAACCCCGGAACUGCCUCCAAAACUUCCAGUCUGGAGUUCGAGAGAGGUGAGUGGAAUUCCGAGUGUAGAGGUGAAAUUCGUAGAUAUUCGGAGGAACACCAGUGGCGAAGGCGGCUCACUGGCUCGAUACUGACGCUGAGGUGCGAAAGUGUGGGGAGCAAACAGGAUUAGAUACCCUGGUAGUCCACACCGUAAACGAUGAAUGCCAGUCGUCGGCAAGCAUGCUUGUCGGUGACACACCUAACGGAUUAAGCAUUCCGCCUGGGGAGUACGGCCGCAAGAUUAAAACUCAAAGGAAUUGACGGGGGCCCGCACAAGCGGUGGGAGCAUGUGGGUUUAAUUCCGAAGCAACGCCGCAGAACCUUACCAACCCUUUGACAUGGGGGAGUAUGGGCCUGGAAGAGAUCUGGGUCCUUCAGUUCCGGCUGGCUCCCAACCAGGGGGCUGCAUGGGCUGUCGUCCAGCUCCGGGUCCUGAAAAAUGUUGGGGUUAAAGUCCCCGCACCCGAGCGGCAACCCUCUAUCUUUCAGUUUGCCCUUCAUUCCGGUUGGGGCCCCUUUUGGAAAAAAACUCGCGCCGGUGACAAAAACCCCGGAAGAGAAAAGGCGCGGGGGAUAAAACCUCCCAAGUCCUCCAUUGGGGCCCCUUUAGGGGGGUGGGGGGGCUACCACCCUGGUGCCAACAUUGGUGGGGGGAGCAAACUGGGGGGGAGACGAGGGCGCUCCCAGAGGGCACAACGCUAAUUUUCCAAAAAAAGGCCUUUUCCCCAUUUUUCCGAAUGUUGCCCCUC